Homo sapiens (human) is the source of this 762-nucleotide long non-coding RNA. Ensembl annotates it as long intergenic non-protein coding RNA 1941. Lineage: Eukaryota; Metazoa; Chordata; Mammalia; Primates; Hominidae. The record is from Ensembl.
CUCUGCCUGAACUGUCCUCCCAACAAAAUCCUGCUCACCCUUUAAAACAUACCUCUGACAGCUCCUUCUCUGGGCAAGUCGCAUGAGCCUCUCCUCUCAAGUCUCACCAGGAAUUUAAGAGUAAUUCCCAAAUUGCUUCUGGGCCUUGACUUUCUGUCAUCUAUUCAAAUGUCAAAACCUUUUCCUGGAAGAAUGUGCUACACCUGCUGCAGGAGAAAGGCAAUUAGUAAAUGUAGAAGAAGAAAUGGAAUUUGAAAAUCACUAUUUGGCCACCAUCAUGGUAAUAAUUGCUUGAGUCAAGAAUCAUCAGUGGAUCAUUCUAAUGGGUGGAAGUUUAACCACUAACAGGAUAUUUCAUGGUCUCAAAGCCUCUUCCCACAAGAUGUUUAUAAUAAAAAAUAAAAAGCAGAAACUUCAGAGCAAAGAAGUCUGACAGACACUGCCAAAAUCAGUCAAGCCAAUAUCAUGUGUUUCCUAAUACAAUGCACUAAGAGAGGCACAAUAUCACUUCUGCAGCAUCCUUGCCAAAAACACCUAAUGAUAGUUUUAUUAUGAUGAAACAAUGAACCACUUUCAAACUGAGGACAUUUUAUGAAAUAAUUUGUCAGAACUCUCAAAAAUUAUCAAAUAAAUGAAAUAUAAAAAGAGCUGUUAAGGACUUGGAGGACUGUUAGAUUAUAGAAAAGUAAAAAGUCUUUACAGCUAAAUGCAACAAAUAAAGAUGCAAUAUUUUUAUAAAAAACAUUGAACAACUAGCAAAAA